AUUGAACGCUGGCGGCGUGCCUAAUACAUGCAAGUCGAGCGAACGAAGGGAAAGCGUUCUUUUCUUAUGUUAGCGGCGGACGGGUGAUGAAUACGUGUAUAACCGACAUAUAGGACUAGGAUCAGUUAGCGAAACCUAAUCUAAUACACGUUAAGAUGGAGAAACGCAGGGUUCAAAAGUGAAAAACGUACUAGCUGUCACUAAUAGAUGUAACCUCGCUGCAUUAGCUAGUUGGUAAGGUAACGGCGUACCAAGGCAACGAUGCGUAGCCGACCUGAGAGGGUGAUCAGCCACACUGGAACUGAGACACGGUCCAGACUCCUACGGGAGGCAGCAGUAGGGAAUAUUCGGCAAUGGGCGAAAGCCUGACCGAGCCAUGCCGCGUGAGUGAUGAAGGUCUUCGGAUCUUAAAGCUCUGUUAUUUGGGAAGAACAUAUGUGAAAGUAAAUGUGCACAUCUUGACGGUACCUACACAGAAAGCAACGGCUAACUACGUG
RNAcentral lists this ribosomal RNA (497 nucleotides) under uncultured bacterium. RNAcentral describes it as "partial 16S ribosomal RNA". It matches the Rfam family "Bacterial small subunit ribosomal RNA", at positions 30 to 507 of the family's 1533-position model. The record is from RNAcentral.